AAGUGGGCUGUGCGUGUGUGUGUGCACAUGUGCAUGUAUACACACACACACACACACACACACACACACACACACGCAUGCGCACACACACACA
This 94-nucleotide microRNA precursor is filed under the name Sorex araneus (European shrew). Its description in RNAcentral is "miRNA (ENSSARG00000017002.1)". The record is from RNAcentral. Lineage: Eukaryota; Metazoa; Chordata; Mammalia; Eulipotyphla; Soricidae.